This 425-nucleotide ribosomal RNA is filed under the name uncultured bacterium. RNAcentral describes it as "bacterial SSU rRNA". It matches the Rfam family "Bacterial small subunit ribosomal RNA", at positions 354 to 777 of the family's 1533-position model. The record is from RNAcentral.
GUGAGGAAUAUUGGUCAAUGGCCGUAAGGCUGAACCAGCCAAGUCGCGUGAGGGAAGACGGCCCUACGGGUUGUAAACCUCUUUUGUCAGGGAGCAAGGGGCAGGUCGUGACCUGCUGUGAGAGUACCUGAAGAAAAAGCAUCGGCUAACUCCGUGCCAGCAGCCGCGGUAAUACGGAGGAUGCGAGCGUUAUCCGGAUUUAUUGGGUUUAAAGGGUGCGCAGGCGGAGGCACAAGUCAGCGGUAAAAUCGCGGGGCUCAACCCCGCUCCGCCGUUGAAACUGUGUCCCUUGAGUGCGCGAAGGGUAGGCGGAAUGCGUGGUGUAGCGGUGAAAUGCAUAGAUAUCACGCAGAACUCCGAUCGCGAAGGCAGCCUACCGGCGCGCUACUGACGCUCAUGCACGAAAGCGUGGGUAUCGAACAGGA